RNAcentral lists this ribosomal RNA (466 nucleotides) under uncultured bacterium. Its description in RNAcentral is "partial 16S ribosomal RNA". It matches the Rfam family "Bacterial small subunit ribosomal RNA", at positions 28 to 507 of the family's 1533-position model. The record is from RNAcentral.
GACGAACGCUGGCGGCGCGCCUAACACAUGCCAGUCGAACGAGCGAGAGAGAGCUUGCUUUCUCGAGCGAGUGGCGAACGGGUGAGUAACGCGUGAGGAACCUGCCUCAAAGAGGAGGACAACAGUUGGAAACGACUGCUAAUACCGCAUAAGCCCACGACCCGGCAUCGGGUAGAGGGAAAAGGAGCAAUCCGCUUUGAGAUGGCCUCGCGUCCGAUUAGCUAGUUGGUGAGGUAACGGCCCACCAAGGCGACGAUCGGUAGCCGGACUGAGAGGUUGAACGGCCACAUUGGGACUGAGACACGGCCCAGACUCCUACGGGAGGCAGCAGUGGGGAAUAUUGCACAAUGGGGGAAACCCUGAUGCAGCGACGCCGCGUGGAGGAAGAAGGUCUUCGGAUUGUAAACUCCUGUUGUUGAGGAAGAUAAUGACGGUACUCAACAAGGAAGUGACGGCUAACUACGUG